Dromaius novaehollandiae (emu) is the source of this 6925-nucleotide long non-coding RNA. RefSeq lists it as uncharacterized. Lineage: Eukaryota; Metazoa; Chordata; Aves; Casuariiformes; Dromaiidae. The transcript has 2 exons. The record is from RefSeq and is a predicted model, not a curated record.
UAGCUGUUUUUAUGUUUUAUUUUUAUUUAAAAUUAGUUUACUUUAUUUUUAUUUUUGCUUAAAAUAUUUCUUUUUUUAAAGAAGUUCCUUUUCUUGGUUAAGAACCCUGGACCUUUCUGCUCUGCGGAUCUGUGCAGGCGUUCAGCUGAAUCUGAAAUGACAAAGACUCAUUUCAUCUACGGGUACGUGUGAAAGAAGCCUCAAAGACUGGCUCAGGAACCACAGAGGCUCCCUUUGCGCUCAAGCCGAGUGUGUCCCAAAGCACUAGGUGAAUAAGUAAAUGAGUGAAAUUCUGGACCCACUGAAGGCAGUUGAAAAGCAUCAGUAGGAUGAAUACUUCACCUUUAAAGAUUUAGGUAAAGCAACUGAUAGUCAAGUCACUUACACUGUUUUUUUCAGAUGCGUUGUGGGGUUAAUUGCUUGUUGUUGCUAAAUGCUUCCUUUUCUAACUUGUCAAGUAAUUUAAAUAUCCUUUAUUUCACCCAGAUAAUUCCACAUGAUAGCUAGUUAUUUUAUCUCUGUCUCUGUUUUUUGACCAACUGACACUUGGUGUGUCAGCUGUCUUCAAAACUUCACUGUCAGAUCUAGUUCAUGCUUGACUCAAAAUUACACCUGCUUACUCUUGCCUAAAUUUGGCCCAUUGGUUAUGGCAGAAGUGUACACAUACACAACAGUAAACAAUUUUCUGUUAUCAUUAGCAUUGCUUAAGCAUAAACCAGAAGCGCCAAGACAAAUAAAAAUGCUAUCUCAGGCUGGCAAAUGUUCCAUAUCUCCUGCCCACAGAGCACAGUCUGUGGAGAGUUGGUGAUGUCAAAACUGCAGCACCCUUGGGCUGCCAGAUAGAAGAUUGGUAGAGAGCAAGUGGGAGUGAAACAGAGAGAAUGAAAGUGCCUCAGGGGAUAGAGGAUGAGAAGAAGUAGAUGAUAUAACAACUUCUAGAGACUUGCGAGCUUCAGAAGAAGCUGCUAACACUGUAUAGAACAGUGUACAGUAUAGAACAUAAGUGUACAUGCAUUAACAAAACUUCCGAAUGAUACAGGGUUGCACACCGGUGGUUCAGAGGUAGGGUGACUUUACAAAAAGAGAAGGGCAGAUGCAGUUUUUUUUAAUCAGGCCAGAGUAGGCUUUUGUAACAAACUAGUUUGAUGACUGGCUGCUGCUGCCGCAAAAAACAGUUUGAUUUUGGAAGGAGAUGAGUUUCUGAUGCACUUUUUACAGCCUUGCAAUUGAAAACUUGUCUGUUAUUGCCUGGGUCUGAUUGUUUAAUUUGCUGAACAAACCUUUACAUUCACAUUAUUUCAAGUACCUAACUAUGUUCACAUAGACUUAGUUCAGUUAAAGAUAGGAGAAACUUGUGAAGACACCCAGCAAGUGAUUGGGGGCAUAAACAUUUUAUCAUGAAUCAGCAGAAGACAAGCUGAAGAUAAAAUGCAGUGCUCAAGGGGCAGAAGACUAUGCUAAAUAUUAUGAAGAAUAUCAGUAUAACCUUUCCAGGUUCUUGAGGAUCUUUGUAUCAGUUUCUUUUGUGAUAAGGAUUAAAAGGCGAGUGGUAUUUAGUAUUCGUGUGUAUAUGUGUGUUAGGAAGGGGGUUGUUUUGUGUGUGAGGUUUUUUUCAAUACACAGAAAGUACAAAGACUUUCUGAUAACAUUGGCUCCCUUGGAAGUGGGUGUGAGACCUUUAAUAUUGCUUCUGUAUAUGUACAUGGCUUUGCUGCUGCUCAUGUGGAAUGCAGGUAAGAGAAAAUGUGUCACUCUGUCAACAAGAGACUUCUGUUCUGGAUCGCUUUGUAAAAUGAAAGAUGAAGGAAACCAUUUCCAUGCUCUGAUUCUGCUUUAACAAUGGCCUUGUUUUGUAUUUGAGACUGUGUGAAGUAUUUGUUGACAAUCAGGCGUCAGGUUUUAGGGCAAAAUGUGUUCUUACCUAGUUAAAGACUACAGGAGCCGCAGCCCCACCGUAUGUAGAUUUUUCUCUCAGUAAUGCAGACAGAAGGCUUAGCACUGCAUUUGCUGAAGGUUAAAUGGACCUCAGAUGGAUGCAGGAGUGGAAAAUUGUCGGGUUCUUCUGCCACAGCUGAUGUGAAUGUAAGGUGGUUCACGGCGUGACACUGGGGAACAUAAGUCAGGCUUGAGGUAACUAUAGGCGGAGUGCACACAUAAAAAUUGCUUGGCUUGAGUUUAGAAGAAACAGGGGUGGAUAUGAGCUGCAAAAAAGGCAAAGCAAGCUGAGGCAAAUUAACCCCUGUGGUAUCAUGGACAAUGUCAUCUGUGACCACAGAUUUGAUUUGGUCAGUUUAGCCUUUGUCUUAGGAUGGGAACUUCUGUGAACGAUAUAGCAGACCGAUCUACUGAAGUUGUCCCCACAGUAACAAUAAUUUCGAGGUGUUUCUUAGCUUGAAUAAGCAUUACAGGCAACACUUGUAUUGCAUCUCACAUGACAGAGGCUAUGCUACUUUCAUCAUUUAACCUCUUGCUGAUGGUGGCUUGUACAGGAAUGGAUUCUUUGUGCAGCUCCCUGCUGCAACCUGCAGUGUGUGACACAACUGGUGCUAAAAUCCCUGUGACUAAAAGCCGGUCGAAGGGCUGCGGUGAUGGGAAGAGGAGAGAGGUACUUACCCCACCUACCUUACGUACCUGUUGGACUACAAAAGAGUCUUUUUCUGAAAGGGCUUAUCUCGCUCCGCUCGCUACAGAGAGAGCUUAGGCACCUGGCUUAAAAGGUGGUCAGCUUUCAGAUGGCUGAAGUUCGGCCAGACAAAUUCCACUAUGAGUGGUGGCAUUUAUUUUGUUUGUUCACAGUUAACGUGUGUUCUGUUCCCUUGAAAAGGGUGUUGCUGGUCUGCAAAAGGAGGAAGGCGCUUGCUUGCCUGGUUCUGGCUGCUGCCUUCUGAAUCAGUUGGCACCCUUGAGGGGGAAGAGAGACCAUGUCUUUCAUGAGAGCAGCUGGGCUUGGAGAGCUGGAGAGGGAAGAAGCUUCAUGAGUGCAGGGUGGGGAAGGCAGAGGGGAAGAGACAAAGUCAAUAUAAAACUUUCAGCAAGGGUAACGAAUGAUGGGUGCUGAGAAGAGCAGGGAGUGAACACACAUUCAGGCCUCAGAUGGUGAAGGAAAACAAGAUUUUUUUCCUGGGGCUUAGAGGGGACUGUUCAGAGUUUGUCGUAGUCUAUUAUAUGCAGCCCUUUAUAUUCUGUCUGAAUAUAAGAAAAAAACUUUUUACUUUGGGGGUGACUGAGCACUGGAAGAGGUUGCCCAGAGAGGUUGUGGAGUUUCCAUCCUUGGGGCAACUUGCUCUAGGUAACCCUGGUUGAUCAGAGGUUUUGGACUACAUGUCUCCGGAGGUCUCUUCCAACCUCAGCUAUUCUGUGAUUCUGAAAAAGUCCUCAAAAUGCUGCUGGCAUGAGAGCAAACCUAAGAGAAACAACCUGCCUUGGGAGUGCACCAUGAGUAGAGGAGUUUGAUCACAAACCUGUUUAUUUUUAUUUUGCUUUCCUCAAGAGAACUAGUAACAUAUUUUAAAGGUUCUCUCGUUCUAGUUAAUGUUCAGAUAGAACACAGUUUUACACUGUAAAAGCUCCUGUGUGUAUUUUUGGUCAAUUUGGAGUUUGUUAUGCCAUUUCUCACUGGAGCAAGAGGGAAUGGUUGCUGCACAGAGUCAAUGGUUGCCUCUUUGGCUUUUCUUUCGAUGCCAUCUAAGCAACAACAAAGUACACACACAUAUUUAAGAACAGUAAUACAUCUGUCUUUCUAGAUACUCAAUCAAAUAUUCAAGGCAGAGACUUUAGAAAACAUCUGGCCAGAUUUACUUGAAAUCUGCAGUUUUGGCUGAAAUACGAGUUACUGUUCUUUGUAAUUUUCUGUCCAGCCCAUGAAAUAUCAGCUGUUUUAAGGAAAAGUGGUUAACAGCUUUUCUUAUGAAGCAGGUUUAUGAUUUUUCUAUCUGAUUUUGACAUAUGACUCUGCUGAAAGUAACGGGGACAUUUUUGUUUACCUUUGUUCUUGUAGAAAUAGAAAGAUUUUAGAUUGUGCGAAGUAUUUUAUAGAGGCAGUAUUACACAGUGAACUGUUACAGAGUGGAGAGAAACAUGAAAUAUAUGGAUCUGAAGCUUGUGUAGGCCAAAAUUCUUCAAAGGGCUAGCUGUAGAUCAAAGCCCAGCCUGUAAUGUGUGAUCAAAUAGUCUGCUGAAUGAGACCAAAGAGGAGGAAGCCUUUUGGUUCAGCAGCCCUGGUUUGAUUUGCCCCAGAGAUGUGCUCUUCAUAUGAGACAGGAGUUUGUGGCAUCCUCACUUGCAUAUGGGCAUGUAGUUCCUGCACACACAUGCUCUUCUCCUCUCAUACAUCUGGUAGAGCUCUAGCUGCUCUUAAUUCAUCCUUCCUCACACCUUGCAUUUGGCUUCUCUCAAAAAGUUAUUGAAAACUAUAGAUGCAAAAAAAGGCUCCUGAAACUAGGCUCAGCAGAAAACUUAAACAAACAAACAAACAAACAAACAAACAAAAGCACCUUGAUAUGUUUACAUCUCUUUGUUGUUGUAGUAGAGGCCCUAUAAAUAAAACAUUCAGGAAGUGUCCUGUUAAUGGAGCAGAGGAAUGUAUUUUAAGAUGUGCUGUGUUCUGUAGGGAUCUCCCUUCCCCUUCCCUGAAAUAUUCCCAAGACUUCCAACCAUAUAUAUACAUACACAACUAUAUACGGUCCAUACAUCUCUUUGUAUGUUCUUCCUUCUACACAGGUGCCUUGUUCCCUGCCUAGGCUUCCUCAGUGGUGUAAUAAGAAAGAAAAGGAAUAGGAAAACUUUAGAAUUGAUGAUUCUGUGUCCUUUUAAGGCUGCAUGAAUAUAAGCAGAGACCGCCUUCUCUCUUGUCCUGUUUAUUCACUGAUGGCAGGAGAGGUUUAUUUAGAUUCUUAUUUGGCAGGUGCUAACCAAAUAAAGUGUUGCAGAAGCUACUACCUUCAUGUACUUCUGAUCUAAUCCAAGUCCAGGCAGAAGAGAAUCAAUUUAUUUUUGUGCAAGAUAAGUGAUGAGUUUCAGGAGUGCAGGCGAACGUGUAGCAACUUGUGUGAAGAAAAAAAAAUGUGGGGGAGAACAGGAGAUCAAAAUAGGAGCUUUCGCCAAUGUUAGAAGAAGAAGAAAAAUGAGGAAGAAAAAAGUUUUGAAAUCAGAGCUUAGGGCAGAUGACAAAACAGGAAGCCAUAGCUGCUCUUACAGAAGGAGAGAGAAAAAAAAGAGGAUUUGAUGAGGAAGAUGGGUCAAGGGAAAAUUUGGGAAAGAUUCAUAAGCCAUAUUUUGUUACCUGUGGGAGAAAGGAACAGUUUCAGCAACGGUGUUUGAUGGAUGGGAGAUAAACACAAUAUGAAACACCAAGCUUCACCCUUUGAGAUCUGAGUUUGUUUUUGCUAAAGUACUAGCAAAGGUUCUGUAGCCACAAGAUUUUUUUCUAGUAUGUCUAAACUGUCCUUAAAAGAAUUGAAAGCCUAAUGCUAUUGCCAGCUUCCUGGCAGCUAAUUGUUACUGGAAUCAACAGUUGUUUCAAGCAAAGACUUAAGUGUCAAACAGCCAUAGCUAACUGGUGUGUGACUUUUUUUUCCCCAGCAGGCUUUCUUCUUGCCAGCCUUCAAUGAAGACCAUGUAGAGGUUUUCCUGUGCUGGAACUUUCUUUCUUUCUUCCUUUCUACCUCUUGAACUUUCCUCUGAAGUGAAAGUUGGUUGAUGUAGAGAGUAUCUUUUUCAAAUGUCCCUGGAAUCCAUAUCUGAAAAGCCUGUGUAACCUGUGACAUACGCAGAGUAAGAAUGGGAAACCGAAACUUCUCAAAGCAUGGUUUGAGUUAGACAAACUCCAACCAUUAAAGCAGUUUAAUUGCCUUUCAAGUGGGUAUUAGGUAAUAGAUCACCAUACUUACUAAUUGUUAUUAAGGGAAAAAAAUCCAGGACUCUGUGGAAAUAGGGCUUGCUGGGCUGAGAGAAGACCUUGCCCUUAAAAUCAAAUUGUCUUAGUUUAGAAAUGAGACAUGACAAGUGGAUGAAGCUGGAGAGUGGCUCAAGGGUAUCGUCAGAUAACCUCUUGUGAGGUUCUUUUGUACUGGAUUAAGACUUCCAUUGCCAUGCCAGGGGGAAAGCAUGCAUCAUGCAAGUGGUUCUCAGGUGUACCUGUGCAAAGUUGCCCGGCUCAGCCAAAAGCCACUGCUGGCUGAAGUUGCUUUGAACCGGACUGACACUGAAAGUUAAGAAGUGCUUGAACAAUCCAGUUUGGUCACUUGGCCGUGGGGGCAGUACCCUCUAGCUGUGACACUGAAACAAGCAUCUGGGAGUGGCACAGUGAAACUGCAAUGGCUGCUUCAGAAGUGAUUAUACCCUAGUGUAUAUGUGUCUUUUCAGAGACCUCCUGAUGUAGACUCUGUUGGUAAGGAAGAGUACUUUUGUUCAGUAGCUGCAAUCUGAGCUUGUCACCAGUCUGUGCCCUCUCAGCUAGUGUUGCUCAGUAUGCACUCGCAAAAGGAGAGAGAAUGUCAAUGGGUUUUAAGGAGGAAAAAACGGGCUAAUGGCAUCUCCACUUCAUUUUAAGAGUAGGCAUAUCUUGCAUGAGGUUGACUUGAAAGAAAGCUCCAGGGUGUUAGAAGGAGAGGUCAACAAGGUGUAACAUGGUUGGCGUAGGAAAAAAGGACAGAAGGCAACGCUGCAAGGUGAGACUGCAGAGAGGUACGGCGGGAUUGCAUUACAUCCCAAAGAAAAGAGCAUAGUGGAGGGGAGAGCCAAUCAAGGCAGCCCUCUGAGAUAGAAGAUGGGAGAUUUGCCAUGGAAAAGAGGUAGGAGUGAAGGUUGUCUCAGAAUCUGAAUGGUAUGUGGUGUAAUAAUAUAAAACGUACUGUGAGAGGCCAAGAAGUUUGGCCCCAUAGAUGAAGAGGGUUGAAAUUUCAUCUUCAAAGAACAGGACAAGAUG